Long non-coding RNA from Oncorhynchus tshawytscha (Chinook salmon), 1574 nucleotides. The record is from Ensembl. NCBI's taxonomy places the organism in Eukaryota, Metazoa, Chordata, Actinopteri, Salmoniformes, Salmonidae.
CUUUUUUUCCUCUUGCAAUACCCUAUUAUAAAAGCCCUAAUCCUCACCUUAACUAAUCUCCACCACUCUAACACCCCCUCGCACAUGGACCUGAGGCCUUCAAGCCUCCAAAAGAAACCAUAAAACCCGUCAACAAAAGCCUGCUCCUCCAGCACAUCCCGAUCUAACUUCCAGUACCCCCUACCAAAGAGGCAGACUGGCGACCCCACCUGCAGGAGCACCCCGUCGUGAUCCGAAAAGAAAACAGGCAACAGCCGCCCAGACAACUUACCCAAAGACCUGGGUACAAAAAUAUAGUCGAGCCUCCGCUCAACCCCCCUGGAGUUGCGCCAUGUAGGACCGGCCAUUUUCGGAGUAGUGUGCAGACCACCAUCAACCAGACCAUGGCAAGCCAUUAGCCUGGUAAUGGCGCCUGCACUGCUAUCCCCCCUAUUCCUAAAUCUGUAUUAAAAUCCCCCCCCCUAUCACUAAUUUCCUAUUUGUGACACACAGGGGCGUCAGACAGUCCACCAUCUCCCUCCUGUCUGCCACCACAUGUGGCCCAUACACCACCACUAAUCUAAAUUUACAAUCCCUUAUUGUGACAUCCACCCCUAUAACCCUCCCCUGCAUUACCACAAAAGAAUCCUCCACUUUUACCUCCCUGUGCCCAGACAAAAUCCCUACCCCCGAUGAGUGCACCCCCCCAAUACCCCAAACUGACUCCCCCUUGUCCCACUCCCUCUUAAACCUACUAACAUCCCCUCCAUCCCUCAGGUGAACCUCCUGUAAAAAACAAAAAUCAAACCCCACAACCUCCAAAUAACUAAAAACCGCCCUCCUCUUAACAAAAUCCCUUAAACCCCUUACAUUUAAACUAACAAAAAAUAAAAUAAAAUCAUGUAAUACACUCAAAUUCUAAACCCAGACAGAAAAAAAACAAAAACAGGAGACUCACCCGAUGCUCCCCUGCUCCAUAUCUACCGGUGAGAACACCCUCCAAAUAACUAAAAACCGCCCUCCUCUUAACAAAAUCCCUUAAACCCCUUACAUUUAAACUAACAAAAGUAAAAUUAGAUGCCAUGAAAAAAUAAAAUAAAAUCAUGUAAUACACUCAAAUUCUAAACCCAGACAGAAAAAAAAAAAAAACAGGAGACUCACCCGAUGCUCCCCUGCUCCAUAUCUACCGGUGAGAACACCAUCUGUACUCCCGACAUCCCCCCCUUCCUCCUCCAUCUCAUCAACCCAGGAUGCAGGAAUAGUGUUUGGCUCCGGGGUGCCCUGCACCCUGGGUCUAUCCCCACACUCCUCCCCCUCCCCAGUGCUGCAGCUGGUUUGGAAAAAAAAUCGGGAGGCUGAGUCCCCAAACAAAAAACUCCCCACCUCCUCCUGUACCCAGUCUUGAGUCUUGUUAUGUGUGUCCCCACCCAACAGAAGUUGAGGGCCUGGGGAAACCAGCAGCAACCCAGAGGUUUCUCCCACCCCCAUCACUCUCUUGGCCAUCCCCUCCCUCUCACUGUCGGCCAAUCGCACCCUCCUCUUCAUUCUCUUCUUUGGUGAUGGCGGCAGUGGAGAGAUACCACCCUCCCCCCCCC